This 72-nucleotide transfer RNA is filed under the name Heterocephalus glaber (naked mole-rat). It matches the Rfam family "tRNA". Rfam says of the family: Transfer RNA (tRNA) molecules are approximately 80 nucleotides in length. Their secondary structure includes four short double-helical elements and three loops (D, anti-codon, and T loops). Lineage: Eukaryota; Metazoa; Chordata; Mammalia; Rodentia; Bathyergidae. The record is from Rfam by way of RNAcentral.
GAGAGUGUAGCUUAGUGGUAGAGCAUUUGCCUAGCAUGCAUGAUGAGAUCCUGGGUUCCAUCCCUAGCACCA